AGGGACCCUAGCCGUGGAGUCUGUAGGCAUGACACAGGCUCGAAGGCCGGUGAUCAGGAGAAAUGCUAAACUGAGAAAAGAAUCGUCCAGCUGUCGUGCAUUACAUGUGUACUAAAUACCGGAUCUGAGCCCAGCCCUGAGAGGGUUAGUUACGGGGUGGUUAAAAGAACAGGGAGUCAGGUGAUCUGGCUUCAAGUCUCCAGGCUCCGCUUUUCCUCCCUGUGUUACCAUCAUUAAAUCUUCCCAAUUUUUAGUCCCCUGGCUUGUAAAAUGCAGGUUCCAAUCGUGCUUUCCUCAAGUGGCUGGGUAGGGGUUCAAUGAGAUAACGGGCGUGAAGUCCUUAGCCCAGUGCCCAGUGCCCAGAAAAUGCUCUGCAGUGUUAGCUGUCCUUACUGUUCACCUGCCUCUUCUCGUUUAACCCUCACCACAAUCCCAGGAGUUGGGUGCUACUGUCCUCUAUUUAUAAGUCAAACUGAGGCUCCAAGGGUAAAUCACUUGUCUAAGGUCCCAGAAAGGGAGCAGUGGGGCUGGCCCGGUCAGACUAGAAAUCCCAACAUCUUUGUUUUCUUCACUUUCGGAGAAGCUGGUCAAAGGCACCAGGUUAAGUGCAUCUCAUGCCAUGACGGUCUUCUUCUUGUCCCUAUUACUACACCUUCUCAUCUGUUGAAGAUUUGAGGUCUGGGGUCGUCUCUGACCCUGAAUGCAGCUGGUGAGAGCAUCGGUAUGGCUCCUCUGGGGACCUGCAGCUUCACAGAGUUGACACGGUUUAUGAAACGUCCAUUCUGAUUUGCAAAUAGGUCUGACACGGACACACGUCCAGCUGGCCGGUGAUUUCGAUAACAACCCCUCCUCCUUGGUGCCAAUUACCAGAAAUUAAAUGUCCCUGGCACACUUUGUGAUUCGGAAAUUCAUGUGCUGAUUAGUUAAACCCCUGCUGGACAUGCCAUCAUGACCAAGGGGCUCCCUGCCAACGUCCUAGCUCUCACUCCCUCUCCAUCUAAAGUCACAGGAUGUUUUCUUCCCGGGCAGCAAGCAGUGUCGCCUCACUCACUGACUCAUUCAUUUUCAUUCAACAAAUACUGAUUGGGCAUCCACAGUUGGGAUACAGCAGAGAACAAAGCAAGUCGUGUUCCUGCCUUCACGAAGGGGAAUAAAUAGGAAAUGAUUAAACACACAGGACUGUUUCUACAUGACGUGUUAGGAAGGAAACAAAGAAGUGGGACAAAGGAACGGCUAGGGUACAAACGCGGCGUUGGGUAGAGUGGCCAGGAAGGUGAGAUUUCAACUGAGAUUUGAAGACUGAGAUAGAAUCAGACAUGCAUUGUGCUGAGAUGGUUAGGAAUGAGCUCACCACGUCAAGGAAAUUCAUUCACUUUUCAAACAUUUUUGAUCGUACAAUCAAUAUGUGUUGAAAGAACAAGUGGGGAAUAGAUGAAUCCUCUUUUUUUUUUCUGCCAAGAAGGACCUUCACAGAAGAUGUAACCAGCUUAGAGGCAAGUUCCUUCCCUUGGCGCCAGCCCCGUUUCCCACCUCUCAGGCCAGGGGCUGGGCUCAGGCACUAGCGUUCUGGGACUGGAGGACCUUCAGACCGCACCUUCCGCAGAGACCGACCCUCACAGCUCUUUAGCCGUGACUCUGCAGCAAGCAGAAAGCAAUCGCAUUUUCCUAAGCGGUCAAAAUGGUUGUUUGGAAUUGUGUAGACAAGGCGCGAAGUGUCAGCUGCUUUGUUGUCAUUAGGAUACAUGUAUUGAAUUUCCAUGCCCGCUUACUCAAUUCGAGAGUCCUUAUUAGUUGUGUGUCUCCCUCCCUCCCUCCCUCUUCUCCUCCCGCAGCUCCGUCACCCUCUUCUGCUCAUCUUUCUCUGGCUCAGCAGUGAAGAGCCUAGGCUACAGAAUCAGAACACCGGGUUGUAUCUCAAGUGGGACCCUCUGUGUGACUUUGGCCAUGUCCAUUCCCCUCGCUGAGUCUCAAUUUUCUCAUCUAUAUAAUAGGAAUAAUAGUAAUAGAGGCCGUCUUUUGACAAUCAUAUAAAGUACUUACUGAGUUAUUAUUAUCCUUAUUUUGUGGAUUAGGAUGUACAAUUUAAAGAAGUAGAUUGAGGUUUUGAAGGCAAGAGAAAGGAGUAAUAGGUAUAACCUUGAGCAAGUUUAAUGAUCUGUAUCUACCUAUGGGGUUUUCCAUUCAUUGAGAUAAUCAAGAAACAGGAUCAUAAUAAAUAGUCUCCUAAUUUGUAAUACUUUUGAGCCAACAGCGAUAGAGAGAACCUGUGCCGUGUGCCAGAUAUUCUUCUAUGUGCUUUACCUAUAUUGACUAACUUUUCAAAUCUCACAACCAUACAAAGUAAAUACUAUUCCUAUGCCCAUUUUACAGAUAAGGAAACCAAGACCUAGAGAGAUUACAUCGUGUCCACAGGGUCACAUAGCUGGGACUUGGUGGAGUUUGGGAAUAAACCCGGGCAAACUGACUCCCGGGUCUGCUGCUUGCCUCCUCAUUUAAGAUGAGACACAAAAGCUUUCCUGCAAAUAUCAGAGUUUUCUACUUCAAAUAGACCUGCCUUCUGAGUGCUCAGUAAACAAAGAAUUAUUACCCGCCUAAUCCUGAAACCCCUGGCCUGUAGACACAGGACUGAUGAGGGCAGUACCCAGUACAGCAAAACACCAGCCAUAGGUAAAUUCACAUCUCCUGGCACUGAUGGGAUUUCCGGGUGUCUAUUAAAACGUCAGCAGAUCUUAGAGGCCAAGUCCUUUCUACAUCAUUUAGCACAAGCCAGAAGGUCAGAUUCAGGUGGCAGCCAGCCUUCCCUUGGCAAUUUCUUCCUCAUGACUACUCUGCCCCUACACCCACUCUCAGAAAUGCUACAGCACAAUAAACGUAGUUAAAGAGAUAACAAACCACCACUACCCUCUUGAGAUCCAAAAGCAGUCGUCUCAAAUCCCCUUGCCUCCAGUCUUAGAGGGAUAUGCCCCCAGCUGCUGACGCCAGGCCUGCUGUGUAGAUCAAAGCAGCCUUGUCUGGGCCCACUGUCAUAGCAACAGUGGAUCCAUCUCCAAAGGCUCAUGCCCAGCAUCAGCCCUGGCACGAGAAAGAGAAGCAGACUAUGCCUAACACAGGUGCCUUCCUUUUAAAGGGCUACAAGUUGUCAACAGCAGGCUGAAACUCCUGCCUGUGUUUGGGGUGUACAAUGGAAGCAGCAUGACUCCAAAUCCUGCCUGACUUACUGUCUCGACAGGACGUAGAAUGCAUCCUAGUAUUCGCAGACUUCGGGUUCAUGCCUGCUUCUCCUGCUGAGCAGGAAGCUGCCACCUGGAGUCUCUGAUGGCUCUGCUUGCUGUUGCACUAAGUGGAGCACGUCAGCAAAGGAGUAAGUCCUGCUCAGCCCCGGCAGGCCCUGAGGUGUGGAGGGGCUCCCUUCCGAGCCCACACGUGGCUGUCUGCUUGAAAGGUCAGGCUCCUUCGUUAUACUCAGGCUCUGUAGCACGCACCAAACGUCUGCCUUUGGUGAGUGGGGGUUCGGGUUAGACUCCCCAUGGCAGUGCUUCCCAGAAACUUUGCCCUCAAGAUCCAACAGCCUCCAUAAACGAGGCUGUGAAAGUCGUUAAAGUUUCCCCAGAGAAAACUGACCUGGGAAAUCAGCAUGAGUCCUCAGAUAGAAAAGAAAUCAGGCUUCAAAUGAAGGAAAUUGGACAGAAGAUGGAAAAUUUCCCCUCCUCCUUACUUCCUGUCUUACUGUUUUACUGGGAACUAGCUUGUGGACAAACUCAGAGCCUGGUCUUUUAGAAGGCAAGUCUUUCUAAAUGUUCCUGGACCAAUUUCCCAUCAUCCUUUUAGUGUUCUCCUGUCCCCUUUCAGCAUGGCCAGCUGGAAUUCAUUUGUACUCACAAGGGCCAAGAGCCAAGCCCUGGCAGCAAAGUCAGAGAGAGUAGCCAGCUCCUGUGGUGCCCAUCCCAACCGCCUGCCCUCACCUGGACAAGAGGCAGCUGGAAAUGUUGGCUGCACUUCUUUCUGAGCAUCCUCAGCCUCGGGAGGAGAAAAGACGCCAGGGGCUGGGCAGGGAGGGAGGACUUUGGUUUCAUGUGUGGGGAUGGUAAGGAUGCAGGUCACGUUUGGAAAUUAAAAUAUUUGAGGCCUUGGAGAAAUUCUGGGGGCUUGUGAAUUUUAACUUUAUUUUUUAAAUAAUUUCAAACUUCCGGGAGUUCCUGUCAUGGCUCAGUGGUUAAUGAAUCCGACUAGGAACCAUGAGGUUGCAGGUUCGAUCCCUGGCCUUGCUCAGUGGGUUAAGGAUCCAGCGUUGCCGUGAGCUGUGGUGUAGGUCGCAGACGUGGCUCGGAUCCCACAUUGCUGUGACUCCGGUGUGGGCCGGUGGCUACAGCUCUGAUUAGACCCCUUGCCUGGAAACCUCCAUGUGCCGCAGGAGCGGCCCUAGAAAAGGCAAAGAGACAAAAAAAAAAAAAAUAAUACGGNAACUUCCAGAAAUGUUGAUAAAACUAGGUUCCUUAGAUAUUAAUAUUUUACUAUGUUCGUCUUGAUCCCUUUAUUUAUAUAUGUGUAUAUAAUGUUAAAAUUUAGUAUAAAAAAUAUAUAUAAUUUUUCUGAACCAUUUGAGACUAAGCUAAAAAUAAAAGGCAUGCUAUUAACUAGCCUAAAAAUGCUAUCCAAUGGCAUGCUAUUUUUUUCGAUUGUCCUAUUCCUUUCCUUUAUAGAGGAAAAAAGAUGUAAUGUCUUAUCUAGAUCCCAUCCAGGACCAUGUUCUGCAGCUGUCAUACCUCUUUAGUUUCUUUUAAUGCGAAACAGUUCCUCGAGAUUCACUAUCUUCAUGAUCCUGGCACUUCAAAGGAUAUACAGGCCAUUUACUUUAUAGAAUGUCUAUUAGGGUUUCUCUUUAAUUUCUUCACCACCAGAUUCAGAUUUUUCAUUUGGGGUAGUAAUGGAUGAAAUCGUUACCAAUAACCAAAUAGGAAUCCCUAAGCCCAUGCUCUAUAAAUGAAGAAAUAGGGGAAAGGAAAAUUUCUUCCUUAUAGUAGAAUGCCAACUAAAAAAUGUGGAUGGAAUUAUGGAAUUUUUAAAAGUCACCAUUGGGGAGUUCCCACUGUGGUGCAGUGGGUUAAGAAUCCACUUGCAGCGGCUCAGGCCACAGCUGAAGCUCAGAUUGAAUCCUUGGCCCAGGAACUUCCAUAUGCUGUGGGUGUGGCCAUAAAAUUAAAACAAAAACAACAGUGGGUGAGGAGUUCCCUGGUGGCCUAGUAGUUAAGGAUCCAUGUUGUCACUGCUGUGCCUUGGGUCAUUGCUAUAGUGCAGGUUUGAUCCCUGGCCAGGAACUUCUGAAUGUCAUUGGCAUGGCCAAAAACAAAACUAGAGAGUGAAAGCUUGAAGAGCUCAGAGCGUCUCCUCUAAAGAUACUUAUUGAUCACAAAGGGGGAAAUGGCAAUUUACAGUAGAGAAACCAGGUAGGCAAAAGACCAAAGUUGGCAUCAUGAGUAAUGAGGAAACAGUGUGUCCCACCCAAUAUGAUGGACUGAGAACACCACACCUCUUCUGUGAAAUAAAAGACAAAGUCCUGCCCAAAGGACUUAAGAUUGUCAAGAGCUAUCGUACUAAUGAGGCUGCAUUCACACACAACAGAUUCUGGAAUGCUUUUCACCUUCACAGACACCCCCACCACCACCCGGAAAUCUUCCCAGGAGGCACAGGCAACAACAAAACACUGAAGAGAACAAAUCAGAUGCUUGGGAUGAACACGCACAGUGCAGAGCUGUGUACUGGGUGAAACUCCUUGGACAUUGGUGAUGGUACAGGAAUACCAAAAGGCUAGCCUCCAAGUCAGAAGGGGCAAUAGGAGAAGAAGCAAAUCGGUCUUCCCACAGCAUCAGUGCAUGGGGUACCAGGUUGGAGAAAAGCACACGAGUCAUGUGCUGUUACAGGUUACACCAGACCCUCAGCCAUCCUGUUAUUCUGUUCUGCUGUCAAAGCUGAACUUUAUCCUGCCAAUUUCUCACACCUUGGCACCUAACUGAUAAAUGCAGACUGGACAUCAAACACCUCCCAGCCUCCCAGCGCUGUGUCUGGUCCAUCUCUCCAGCUCAAAUUUAGAGCAGUGCAGGGGAGGGCAUAAUAUCCUCCUCUCAGGUGUUCAGUGGAAGAGGCUGGAGCUUCUUAAUAAUGCCCACAGCCCUCAUGCUCUCUCCCGAUGUCCUCAUGCUCUUUUCUGAUGCCUUCAUGCACCUUGUAUCCCUCUGCCCUAUCCAUGUUCUUUUUCCUUCCAAUUCCACUCCGUCUUUCUGCCCUGAUGCUUUCUGAUCCAGAGGGGUUUUGGUGGAAUAUACCGAUCAAGGAAAUAAGGACUUAGUACAUAAAGAAUCUCAGAC
This 6362-nucleotide long non-coding RNA is filed under the name Sus scrofa (pig). RNAcentral's name for it is "lncRNA (ENSSSCG00015076789.1)". The record is from RNAcentral. Lineage: Eukaryota; Metazoa; Chordata; Mammalia; Artiodactyla; Suidae.